CCUUGCUGUCACCCUGCUGUCACCCUGCUGUCACCCUGCUGUCACCCUGCUGUCACCUUGCUGUCACCCUGUUGUCACCCUGCUGUCACCUUGUUGUCACCCUGCUGUCACCUUGCUGUCACCCUGCUGUCACCCUGCUGUCACAAGGAAGCUUUGAAAUCCUCUUCAGUCCCUUUCACAGAAUCUCAUGUGGUCUGAGAUCCUCUAUCUAGGGUGGUUUCUGUGGUCUGAGAUCCUCUAUCUAGGGUGGUUUCUGUGGUCUAGGGUGGUUUCUGUGGUCUAGGGUGGUUUCUGUGGUCUAGGUUGGUUUCUGUGGUCUAGGGUGGUUUCUGUGGUCUAGGGUGGUUUCUGUGGUCUAGGGUGGUUUCUGUGGUCUAGGGUGGUUUCUGUGGUCUAGGUUGGUUUCUGUGGUCUAGGGUAGUUUCUGUGGUCUAGGGUUGUUUCUGUGGUCUAGGUUGGUUUCUGUGGUCUAGGGUGGUUUCUGUGGUCUAGGGUAGUUUCUGUGGUCUAGGGUAGUUUCUGUGGUCUGGGGUGGUUUCUGUGGUCUAGGUUGGUUUCUGUGGUCUAGGGCGGUUUCUGUGGACCCUGCCAUCAUUCAGAGUUUCAAUCAGAACAUGAUCUAGAGACUGAAUCUGGAGACUGAAUCUGGAGACUGAAUCUGGAGACUGAAUCUAGAGACUUGAAUCUAGAGACUUGAAUCUAGAGACUUGAAUCUAGAGACUUGAAUCUAGAGACUUGAAUCUAGAGACUUGAAUCUAGAGACUUGAAUCUAGUGACUUGAAUCUAGAGACUUGAAUCUAGUGACUGGAUCUGGAGACUGCCACCUACUUGCUUACUGUCUACGUGUGUAUCUACAUGCCUGACUUGUUGUGUGUUUCGGUGACUAAUGACUGUUUCAUGUAAAUAUUAAAUAUAUACAUCACACUCCUCUUAACCUGUUUAGUCCAAUGGUUUUAGAUUAUACAAGUCAAUCAAUGACCAUGUGGUUUCUGGGUGAUGUCUUCUUAUAGAUACAGGUCUCUACCUAGCCAUAGGGUCAAGAGUAGUGCACUAUGUAG
Molecule: long non-coding RNA, 1058 nt
Organism: Oncorhynchus tshawytscha (Chinook salmon)
Lineage: Eukaryota; Metazoa; Chordata; Actinopteri; Salmoniformes; Salmonidae
Source: Ensembl